UUUUUUUUUUUAUUUUUACCCGCAGACGAACGCUGGCGGCGUGCCUAAUACAUGCAAGUCGUACGCUUCUUUUUCCACCGGAGCUUGCUCCACCGGAAAAAGAGGAGUGGCGAACGGGUGAGUAACACGUGGGUAACCUGCCCAUCAGAAGGGGAUAACACUUGGAAACAGGUGCUAAUACCGUAUAACAAUCGAAACCGCAUGGUUUUGAUUUGAAAGGCGCUUUCGGGUGUCGCUGAUGGAUGGACCCGCGGUGCAUUAGCUAGUUGGUGAGGUAACGGCUCACCAAGGCCACGAUGCAUAGCCGACCUGAGAGGGUGAUCGGCCACAUUGGGACUGAGACACGGCCCAAACUCCUACGGGAGGCAGCAGUAGGGAAUCUUCGGCAAUGGACGAAAGUCUGACCGAGCAACGCCGCGUGAGUGAAGAAGGUUUUCGGAUCGUAAAACUCUGUUGUUAGAGAAGAAUAAGGAUGAGAGUAACUGUUCAUCCCUUGACGGUAUCUAACCAGAAAGCCACGGCUAACUACGUGCCAGCAGCCGCGGUAAUACGUAGGUGGCAAGCGUUGUCCGGAUUUAUUGGGCGUAAAGCGAGCGCAGGCGGUUUCUUAAGUCUGAUGUGAAAGCCCCCGGCUCAACCGGGGAGGGUCAUUGGAAACUGGGAGACUUGAGUGCAGAAGAGGAGAGUGGAAUUCCAUGUGUAGCGGUGAAAUGCGUAGAUAUAUGGAGGAACACCAGUGGCGAAGGCGGCUCUCUGGUCUGUAACUGACGCUGAGGCUCGAAAGCGUGGGGAGCAAACAGGAUUAGAUACCCUGGUAGUCCACGCCGUAAACGAUGAGUGCUAAGUGUUGGAGGGUUUCCGCCCUUCAGUGCGCAGCUAACGCAUUAAGC
Molecule: ribosomal RNA, 890 nt
Filed under: Enterococcus faecium
Lineage: Bacteria; Bacillati; Bacillota; Bacilli; Lactobacillales; Enterococcaceae
Description: bacterial SSU rRNA
Rfam family: Bacterial small subunit ribosomal RNA
Source: RNAcentral